This 363-nucleotide ribosomal RNA is filed under the name Clostridioides difficile. RNAcentral's name for it is "partial 23S ribosomal RNA". It matches the Rfam family "Bacterial large subunit ribosomal RNA", at positions 2457 to 2819 of the family's 2925-position model. The record is from RNAcentral. Lineage: Bacteria; Bacillati; Bacillota; Clostridia; Peptostreptococcales; Peptostreptococcaceae.
UAAAAGCUACCCUGGGGAUAACAGGCUUAUCUCCCCCAAGAGUCCACAUCGACGGGGAGGUUUGGCACCUCGAUGUCGGCUCAUCACAUCCUGGGGCUGUAGUAGGUCCCAAGGGUUGGGCUGUUCGCCCAUUAAAGUGGUACGCGAGCUGGGUUCAGAACGUCGUGAGACAGUUCGGUCCCUAUCCGUCGCAGGCGUAGGAAAUUUGAGAAGACCUGUCCUUAGUACGAGGGGACCGGGAUGGACGUACCUCUGGUGUACCAGUUGUUCUGCCAAGGGCAUGGCUGGGUAGCUAUGUACGGAAUGGAUAAGCGCUGAAAGCAUCUAAGCGCGAAGCCAACUUCAAGAUAAGAUUUCCCACCG